CGGGUGAGUAACACGUGGGUAACCUGCCCAUCAGAAGGGGAUAACACUUGGAAACAGGUGCUAAUACCGUAUAAUGUCUACGGACCAAAGCAGGGGCUCUUCGGACCUUGCACUAUCGGAUGAACCCAUAUGGGAUUAGCUAGUAGGUGGGGUAAAGGCUCACCUAGGCGACGAUCUCUAGCUGGUCUGAGAGGAUGAUCAGCCACACUGGGACUGAGACACGGCCCAG
RNAcentral lists this ribosomal RNA (229 nucleotides) under uncultured bacterium. RNAcentral's name for it is "partial 16S ribosomal RNA". It matches the Rfam family "Bacterial small subunit ribosomal RNA", at positions 103 to 334 of the family's 1533-position model. The record is from RNAcentral.